RNAcentral lists this ribosomal RNA (518 nucleotides) under uncultured bacterium. RNAcentral's name for it is "bacterial SSU rRNA". It matches the Rfam family "Bacterial small subunit ribosomal RNA", at positions 349 to 858 of the family's 1533-position model. The record is from RNAcentral.
CAGCAGUGGGGAAUUUUGGACAAUGGGGGCAACCCUGAUCCAGCCAUGCCGCGUGAGUGAAGAAGGCCUUCGGGUUGUAAAGCUCUUUCGGCGGGGAAGAAAUGGCAACGGUUAAUAUCCGUUGUUGAUGACGGUACCCGCAUAAGAAGCACCGGCUAACUACGUGCCAGCAGCCGCGGUAAUACGUAGGGUGCGAGCGUUAAUCGGAAUUACUGGGCGUAAAGCGUGCGCAGGCGGUUUUGUAAGACAGACGUGAAAUCCCCGGGCUCAACCUGGGAACUGCGUUUGUGACUGCGAGGCUAGAGUACGGCAGAGGGGGGUGGAAUUCCACGUGUAGCAGUGAAAUGCGUAGAGAUGUGGAGGAACACCGAUGGCGAAGGCAGCCCCCUGGGUCAGUACUGACGCUCAUGCACGAAAGCGUGGGGAGCAAACAGGAUUAGAUACCCUGGUAGUCCACGCCCUAAACGAUGUCAACUAGGUGUUGGAAGGGUUAAACCUUUUAGUACCGCAGCUAACGC